Molecule: long non-coding RNA, 2965 nt
Organism: Schistocerca serialis cubense
Lineage: Eukaryota; Metazoa; Arthropoda; Insecta; Orthoptera; Acrididae
Exons: 6
Source: RefSeq, a predicted model, not a curated record
UUGGGCGGCGUUUAGCAUUUGGAUAGAUGUGGAGGAGGGUGAAUGGGCGGGAUUUGUGGUAUGUCCGGGGCUGUUAUGUUUUAUUAAGUACCUUGUGCUUCACAAGAUCGACGUAUAGUCGAAGAAUUGAACCACGGACGCCUAUGUUAUAGGCAGCUUUGAAUGAGCCCACUCGCUGGGUCUACAUCACUGGGAUUUUCCACGGCUAGUUGAAAAUUCCCAGAGUUGGACAGGAUUUCCAAUAGUUCUUCCAUUUCGUGUCUGAUCGUGCAAGGGUUUACUUCUUGUUUCUACCGAGAUGAAGCGAUCACGGAGGAGCGGAAUUGUGGAAUGAUUUCGCUAUUCUAGAUCAAGAGUAUGCGAAAUGUGGUUUACGCCAAAAAGUCGUACAGAACCAGCACGACGAACUUGAAGAAACAAGUCGAAAGAUCGCAUAUAAUGGUGAACUUUGCGACAAAUUCUUCAAGAUCCGUCGACCCUGUGUUGCCUGAGCCAGGUGAAGCCUCUCCUGCAGCGUAGCUGCGAGAAGGAUGCACAACAGCAGCAGGACACUGGGGGAAGCAGUUCCCUCCACAUCACAGCAUCGGAUAGCCAUCAGGGAAUAUGUCCCCAAAAAGAUGGGACUGAUUCAAAGGAAGGUCGACAGCAAAUUAAUGGGUCUGUUUACAAAAGAGUAUCAACCCUUCUCUGUUGUAAAUGACCUGGUAUUCCGUAGUUUUGUCCGUGCACUGAAUCCCGCUUAUGAAAUCCCAAGUAGAAGGGCUGUAACGUAAGUAAUGUUGCCAGCAGCAUAUGCCGAAGCAAAUGAGAAAGUACAUAAAAAGCUGCUAGGUAUGAAGACAAUCUGAUUAACAACAGAUUGUUGGACAUCAGCUUACAAUGCCUAUGACUGGACACUUCAUAACUGAACACUUCAAAUUACAGUCUGUACUGCUGGAAUGCAGUCCUUUCAGAUAAACAUAGUCUUGGUGGCAAAAUUUUAAUGGCAGUCAGACAAUGCACCAAAUGUGAAAAAUGCAGUUUCCACCCUUCUCAAGUGAAAACAUUUUGGUUGUUAUGUCCGUAUGCUUAAUUUAGCUGUGCAAGAUGCGCUUAAUAACAUUCAGGAAGUCCACCAGAUAGUGAAGACAAUUGUAGGUUUUUUAAAAGAAUGAUAAGUGCAACAGAGUGGCUCUUAACAUGCCAACAGAACAGUGACAAAGUAAACAUUAAGAAAUUGAUACAGGGCUUGCCCACAAGAUGGAAUCCACCCUGUUUAUGUUGGAACAUCUUGUUGAAUUAUCAGAGGCAGUAAAAAUUACAGUUACCCUUUGUAACUGGCCCACAGAACUCCCAUCACUGUCAAAUGAUGAGUGGGAAAUCUGCUUCGAACUCUGUUCGAUUUUGAAACCAUUCGAACAGGUUUAGAGGCAGCUCAGUGGAGAAGACUAUCCGAGUCACAGCUUAGUUCUGACAUGUGACCUUCUGGCAGUGUGUGAUGGAGUUGCCAAAAUGCAGUUACAAGAAAUUUCAAUGAAAGUUGUUAAUGCACUGAAAGAGGGACUUACAACAGGUUUCAGAAUCUUCAGCAGAGCAAAUCCAUUGCCCUUGCCACUCUGCUGGAUCCACGGUUCACAUUGCUGGCAUUUCAGAACCAACAGCAGCAGAUGACACGAAGAAACAGUUAGUUUAUAUUGUUGCCCAGAAACUAGAAGAAUGUAGACCAGAAGGUAUUCAACCUUCACAACAACCUGCUGAGCCAAAUAAUCUGACAACCGAGUCCUUCUCUGUGUGGGGCAUAUUUGGUGAGUUAGUGAAACAUGCACGGCCACGGGGGACAGUACAGCCGUGCUAUUGUAGAGGUCCAAAGAUAUGUUGACAGCCAAGCCAUCAGUAGAAAUGAGGAUCCCCUGGCAUGGUGGAGACAAAAUCAGUACAUUUACCCAGCCACCGCAAAAGUAGUGCAAGAGAUUCAAUGUCGUUGCAACUUCUGCACCUUGUGAGAGGGUGUUUCCUAAUAACAGGAUAUUUAAUAAAUGAUAGAACCCAUUUCAAGCCAUCACAUAUGCAGAAACUAAUAUUUCUGAAUGUGAAUGGUACUUGUGAUUAGACACUGUUGCUGGUAAGUGACACAGCAUCAGAACACAGUACAGUCUUAAACUGUUCAUAAGCAGCAUUGUUGCUUUUGGUUACAUAGAGGUAACUAGGAACUUUCAACACAACCAAACAAGACUGCACAACUGUAUGAUUCCUAGCAAAAUGUAAAAUAUGUAACGGGUCACUUUCAACACAAAAAGACCUCGUAACUGUAUAAUUCCUAACAAAAUGUAAAAUAUCCCAGUAGGUUCACCUACUUCAUGGAAUGUACGGAAUAUGAUUAGUGAAUGGAAUAAAUCACCACUCUUUUGAAAUUGUGGUGGUUUGUGUACCUCAAGCCUCAUUGGUACACGUGUACACAGUGUGGAGGUGCAGUUUGAAUGCUUACUGCCUUGAAGAGGCGCCUGCAAACACCAGGAUCACGGUCUUGAGCUGCCUACCUACUAUGUGAAUGGAACACCUCAUUAGAUUAGUUGGUUACAUACUUCACCAUUGGACAACUUAAUAUUUCCUCAAAUGCAUGAGUUUUUAGUCACAGAACCGCAACACAAAUUCAGAACCACAACAGGAUUCCACAACCAAACGUUCUUUAUAUUCUGGGACAGUCACUAAGGAUAGGCCAUGACCAAUACCCAAGAUCACUGUUUGUUAUUUUACCAUCUGUGCCAAAUUAAUGUGUCUGGUAACAUAUUAAUGUUAAGGCUCUAUCAAUAAUAGUAUUGUAGAUACACUUCAACGAAAUCAAAUAGUUUACAUGCCACUGUGAAAAUUCAGUGUCAUAAUUUUUUUAUUAAAGUAGAUAGCACUUGUAUCUUGUGUGCAAUGGACGUGAUUUUUCAGUAUGACAUGUCAAAAGACCUGCAGUAAAAUAAAUUUGUUUAUUGCAAAA